This is a long non-coding RNA of Phasianus colchicus (ring-necked pheasant), 1224 nucleotides long. The record is from Ensembl. NCBI's taxonomy places the organism in Eukaryota, Metazoa, Chordata, Aves, Galliformes, Phasianidae.
UUUAAAUUAGAGACAGGAAAAGCAUUUCAGCAGUAUUUAAAUAAUGUUUUUCUAAUUGCACAAUUUGCUUAAAAAAAAAAAAAAAAAAAAAAAGAGUUUUUCAAAACAUUGGUUUAAAGAUAAAAAUAUGCUAGAUGGGGAAAAGAAGGAGGAAGGAAACUGCAGAGUUCCAUGUGCUGAGAUCUUUUUAAUCCACUUCCUAGGUGAGGGAGAGCUGGUUUUAGGGGAGUGAGAACAGAUUUGAAUGUGCCUCCCUUCAAGUGAGCUGCCUGUUAAUCUAACAAGUGGGAGCCUUUCUGAGAGCCAUUGACAUCCUGGAAUAUCUGCCAUGGACAAAGACAUUCAUGGCAGGGUUUGACCAGUGGUUGAAUCAGGGGUUAAUCUGGGAAAGGACCAUGAAUAAAGCUUCUAGCUGGUAUAUUUUCAAAUCUGAAUAAGUAAUUCUGUAUAAAUGCCCAAAUGUCUGAAAUCUCACAUGUAACAUAUUCAGAAGAAUCUGAAUAUCUCUCUUUCCCAGAGGUAAGUUCCUACGUUCUCAUGACUUUGUACUGGAAUUAGGCUUGCUAGAUACUCUAAAAAACAAUAAGGAGGAAAAAAAAGAAAAAAGAUGCUUCAGAAUCAAUUUUGUUAAUUAGCAAAUCACAUAUAUUUUUUUCCCAUAAACUAGAUGUCCAAAAAAAAAAAAAAAAAAAUCUGAAGUGCCAGAACAAUGAAAUGUUAUGUAACAAUCAGCUGAGUCCUUAUUUUAAGCACAAAAUCUUAUAUUUUCACCUGAAAACCAGUGUUCUGGCUUUUGUUGUUGUUAGUUUGUUACUUGGUUUCAGUUAUUUGUUGAUGUCUAUUUGGGGAUUUUGUUUUGUUUUUAUUGUUGUUAAGCAGAUUUUCGUUUUUCUUCCUUGCUUGGUAGAAAUGGCUUCGUUUGGAUCACAAACUGAAUAUCCCUUCAGCCACCAAGGAACUCAAACCCUUGGUAAAACCAACUCCUUGCUAAAUUCAUCACAAGCCACAGGUACAAAAACAAAAAGUCAACGCAGCGUGGCUCUCGCAGCAAUCUUCUCGUGGCAGCACUUCACAACACACAGCAAGGCUCUCCCAGCUGAAGAACAAAAACUUAUCGUUACAGAAGCAGAAACAAAGCAUUGUGCAUACCUUGCUGCUUCCGUUGCCUCAGCAGGUUUCCAGGAAUGGGAACAGCUGGAGAAACUGAAUGUUAUGCUUCAUUGA